This 450-nucleotide ribosomal RNA is filed under the name uncultured bacterium. RNAcentral describes it as "partial 16S ribosomal RNA". It matches the Rfam family "Bacterial small subunit ribosomal RNA", at positions 498 to 1156 of the family's 1533-position model. The record is from RNAcentral.
UAAGCACCGCUACUGUGCCGCAUCGGUCACGUUCCGAUUUACUGGUUUAAGGGUGCGAGGCGGUGAGCAUGGUGAACUCCAUACUGUAAUGACUCCUGAGUUGGGGAGGUGGCGAUACAAUGUGGGGAAAUGCAUAUAUGUAGACACCAUUGCGUAGGCAGCUACUAAAACUGACGCUCAUGCACAAAGCGGGGUAGCGAACAGGAUUAAUACCCUGGUAGUCCCGCCCUAACUGUUUACUCGAUCUUCUGUGGGUCCGAAAGCGUUAAGAAACACCUGGGGGUACGUUGCAAGAAUGAAACUCAAAGGCACAAGUUUAUCGCGGAGAACUUACCUGGCUAGGUCAGAGACGCAGGUCUGCAUGGUUUUCAGCUCGUGCCGUGAGGUGUGGGUUAAGUCCCCAACGACGCACCCCUAUGUUAGUUGCACGGACUCUAGGAGACUGCCUGC